GUGAGGAAUUUUCCGCAAUGGGCGAAAGCCUGACGGAGCAAUGUCGCGUGAAGGAUGAAGGCCUAUGGGUUGUAAACUUCUUUUCUCAGAAAAGAAUUAUGACGGUAUCUGAGGAAUAAGCAUCGGCUAACUCUGUGCCAGCAGCCGCGGUAAGACAGAGGAUGCAAGCGUUAUCCGGAAUGAUUGGGCGUAAAGCGUCUGUAGGUUGUUUAAAAAGUAUUCUGUCAAAGAUUAGGGCUUAACCCUAGAUAGGCAGAAUAAACUUUUAAGCUAGAGUUUGGUAGAGGCAGAGGGAAUUCCCGGUGGAGCGGUGAAAUGCGUAGAUAUCGGGAGGAACACCAAAGGCGAAGGCACUCUGCUGGGCCAAUACUAACACUGAGAGACGAAAGCGAGGGGAGCAAAUGGGAUUAGAUACCCGAGUAGUCC
This 426-nucleotide ribosomal RNA is filed under the name uncultured bacterium. RNAcentral describes it as "partial 16S ribosomal RNA". It matches the Rfam family "Bacterial small subunit ribosomal RNA", at positions 354 to 796 of the family's 1533-position model. The record is from RNAcentral.